This 76-nucleotide transfer RNA is filed under the name Magnetovirga frankeli. RNAcentral's name for it is "gamma proteobacterium SS-5 tRNA-Thr". It matches the Rfam family "tRNA". Rfam says of the family: Transfer RNA (tRNA) molecules are approximately 80 nucleotides in length. Lineage: Bacteria; Pseudomonadati; Pseudomonadota; Gammaproteobacteria; Chromatiales; Sedimenticolaceae. RNAcentral also lists the same sequence under 2 other names. The record is from RNAcentral.
GCCAAUGUAGCUCAGUCGGUAGAGCAACUGAUUCGUAAUCAGUAGGUCGCCGGUUCGAUUCCGGCCAUUGGCUCCA